GGUAGCGUGGCCGAGUGGUCUAAGGCGCUGGUUUUAGGCACCAGUCUCUCGAGGCGUGGGUUCGAAUCCCACCGCUGCCA
This 80-nucleotide transfer RNA is filed under the name Daphnia pulex (common water flea). Its description in RNAcentral is "tRNA-Leu". It matches the Rfam family "tRNA". From Rfam's summary of the family: Transfer RNA (tRNA) molecules are approximately 80 nucleotides in length. Lineage: Eukaryota; Metazoa; Arthropoda; Branchiopoda; Diplostraca; Daphniidae. RNAcentral also lists the same sequence under 1 other name. The record is from Rfam by way of RNAcentral.